AUCUACGACCAUACCACCCUGAAUGAGCCUGACCUCUGAUCUUGGGAGCCAAGCAGGGUCGGGCCUGGUUAGUAUUUGGAUGGGAGAAAUAUCAUUUAUGAAACUGGGAGUGCUAAGAUA
Molecule: ribosomal RNA, 120 nt
Filed under: Propithecus coquereli (Coquerel's sifaka)
Lineage: Eukaryota; Metazoa; Chordata; Mammalia; Primates; Indriidae
Source: RNAcentral